GCCAGCGUAGUGUAGUGGUUUGAAUGCUGGACUAGGACUCUGGAGACCAGGGUUUGAAUCCUCACUCAGCCA
This 72-nucleotide transfer RNA is filed under the name Phrynosoma platyrhinos (Desert horned lizard). RNAcentral's name for it is "tRNA-OTHER". The record is from RNAcentral. Lineage: Eukaryota; Metazoa; Chordata; Lepidosauria; Squamata; Phrynosomatidae.